RNAcentral lists this long non-coding RNA (952 nucleotides) under Salvia miltiorrhiza (redroot sage). RNAcentral's name for it is "long non-coding RNA (SMIL_LNC008802)". Lineage: Eukaryota; Viridiplantae; Streptophyta; Magnoliopsida; Lamiales; Lamiaceae. The record is from RNAcentral.
GAAAGAAGCCAACCAAGCUGCUGUGUUAGUUCCGAAACGUGGCUCAGUUUCUACUGGCCGUUCAGCAGGACAUGGUGGUCGACCACCACAUGGUGGCGGAGAAGCUAACCAAGCUGAGUUAGCCCCGAGACGUGGCUCAGUUUCUACUAGCCCUUCUAGUGGACAUUCUAGAGUGGUCGACCAGGCACCACAUGGUGGCGGAGAAGCCAACCAAGUGGUUAGCCCCGAGACGUGGCUCAGUUUCUACUGGCACUGGUCCCAGUACUGGACAUUCUAGUGGUGGUCGACGACCAGGACCACCACAUGGUGGAAUGCCAACCCACUGAACACACCAACAACUACUGGAAGGCCAUGCAUAUAUAUAUAUAUUUGGAUCUUCAUCUAUGUGUGUGUUGUUAUAUAUUCGAAAUAAAUAUUAAUGCAUGCUCAAUAAGUGUGGAAUGUGAUGAAGAGGCUAGGCUCUUCAUCUACAAACCACUCUACUUAAUCAGUGUUUAUGUGCAAUCGGAUCUUCCACCUUAUUAUGUGAAAUUGCUAUUUCACUUCACUCGUCUCACUUUGUUACUUACUUCACUAUCAUUCUUAUGGUUACUACAAUUGUGGAAUACUAGUAUAUAAAUAGGCACUGCAGUAGUUGUACAAGUAGAUAAAAUCACAGCAGACUUAACCAACUCCGGAAAUAAUUAUGUCUGCCCCAGCUUCGAAUAGCUACUGCUUUUGUUGUUGUGGAUGGGUUGCUGGCUACGAUUUUGUGGUGGCGCCGCUAAUGGACAGAGAGUAUGCGGCGGAGACCGCGGCAGUCUGAAGACAUCAUGUCUGUUAAUUGGGGAGGGGUGAUUUUACUAGUUCUCCUAUUUCAAUGAUUAACUAGUACACCCCACUCGUGUAAUGCACAGUGAGCAUCAAAAUUGCAUUAUGUUAAAUAAAUAAUAUAAAUAUUAAAUGAAUCAAA